RNAcentral lists this ribosomal RNA (495 nucleotides) under uncultured bacterium. RNAcentral describes it as "partial 16S ribosomal RNA". It matches the Rfam family "Bacterial small subunit ribosomal RNA", at positions 28 to 507 of the family's 1533-position model. The record is from RNAcentral.
GAUGAACGCUGGCGGCGUGCUUAACACAUGCAAGUCGAACGAAGCACCUCUCCCGAAGAUUGACACAGCUUGCUGUAGAUUGAUUCAUUUGAGGUGACUGAGUGGCGGACGGGUGAGUAACGCGUGGGUAACCUGCCUCAUAGAGGGGGACAACAGUUGGAAACGACUGCUAAUACCGCAUAGUAAGAAGAAUUCGCAUGUUUUCUUCUUGAAAGAUUUAUCGCUAUGAGAUGGACCCGCGUCUGAUUAGCUAGUUGGUAAGGUAACGGCUUACCAAGGCGACGAUCAGUAGCCGGCUUGAGAGAGUGAACGGCCACGUUGGGACUGAGACACGGCCCAAACUCCUACGGGAAGCAGCAGUGGGGAAUAUUGCACAAUGGGGGAAACCCUGAUGCAGCGACGCCGCGUGAGUGAAGAAGUAUUUCGGUAUGUAAAGCUCUAUCAGCAGGGAAGAUAAUGACGGUACCUGACUAAGAAGCCCCGGCUAACUACGUG